AUGAGGAAUCGACAAUGAUGGACCCGAAACCAAGCGAUCUUACCAUGACCAGGGUGAGUUUCCUCGAAAGAAGAAAGGAGGCCCGAACCCAAGAUUCGUGCAAUAAUCUGGGAUGAGUUGUGGUACGCAGUGAAAAGCUAAUCGAGCUUGGUAAUAGCUGGUUCUCUCCGAAAUAGUUUUAGGACUAGCGGCUUUGUGUAAGUUUUCCGGGGGUAGAGCUACUGGAUGGAGUUUCGUGGGCGUAUGCCCAGUCACUCUAACCAAACUCCGAAUACUGGAAAAUAAAGCAAGGCUAGUCAGACUGUGGGGGGAUAAGCUCCAUGGUCGAAAGGGAAACAGCCCAGACCCCAGGUUAAGGCCCUAAAUCUAAACUAAGUGUUAACAAGGAAGUGAAUUUCCACAGAUAGUCGGGAGGUUAGCUUAGAAGCAGCUAUCCUUCAAAAAGUGCGUAACAGCUUACCGAUUAAGGAAGUCCGCACCAUAAAUUCACGGGACUAAGUUUAGUGCCGAAACCAGGGGAGCUGCUUGAGUAAAAUCUUACAGCUCGGUAGGAGAGCGUUCUUCACACGCUGAAGCGGAGGUUGUAAGACCCCGUGGAGAGUGGAGAAGUGAGAAUGUUGGCAUGAGUAACCGCAAUUCCGGUGCAAGUCCGGAACGCCGAAAGCCCAAGGUUUCCUUGGCAAUGACAAUCAGCCAAGGGUUAGGCGGUCCUAAGGAAAAGUCGAAAGGCGUAUCCGAUGGACAGCUGGUUAAUAUUCCAGCCCUUCGUUUAGUUUUUCCUAAGAGGACGGAAGUUAGUAACCUAUGCGAAUUAUUGGAUUUUCGUUCCCUGCUUGAGGAGACAAGAGCCGGGAGGAAGCUACCGAAAGGUAGCGAACAUAGGCGAGCAACUUCCCUGGAAAAUUCUUUGGGAGCUAAGCUAAACGAAACCGUACCGCAAAACCGACACAGGUGGGCAGGUGUAAGACACCAAGGCGAAUGGGUGAAACCUCGUUAAGGAACUCGGCAAACAAGCGACCGUAACUUCGGGAUAAGGUCUGCCUUCUUUGUUGAAGGCCGCAGCGAAUGUUCCCCUGACGACUGUUUAUCAAAAACACAGGUCUCUGCUUAACUCGAAAGAGGAUGUAUAGGGACUGAAGCCUGACCAGUGCUGGAAGGUCAAGCUUGCCGGUCCGUCUUUGACGGGCUAAGUGAGUGAAGCCUCAGUAAACGUCGGCGGUAACUAUAACCGUCUUAAAGUAGCGUAAUCCCUUGCCGGGUAAGUUCCGGCCCGCACGAACGGCUUAACGAUUGGGGGGCUGUCUCGACGAGGCGCCCAGUGAAAAUGCAAUACCGGUAAAGAUGCCGGUUACCUGUGGAAAGACGAAAAGACCCCGGGAGCUUUACUGUAUCCAGAUAUUGGGUCCUGAGUCUAAAUGCAGAGCGUAGGUGGGAGACUUUGAAGCUCUACUUCCGGGUAGAGUGGAGUCGUCCAUGGAACACCACCCUUUUAGAUUCUUGAUUCUAACUUCCGCUAACCACGGAAGAACAGUGUCUGGUGGUCAGUUUGAGUGGGGCGCUCUUCUCCUAAAGAGUAACGGAGAAGUCCAAAGGUCAGCUAACUCCGGAUGGAAAUCGGA
RNAcentral lists this ribosomal RNA (1619 nucleotides) under anaerobic digester metagenome. Its description in RNAcentral is "bacterial LSU rRNA". It matches the Rfam family "Bacterial large subunit ribosomal RNA", at positions 692 to 2342 of the family's 2925-position model. The record is from RNAcentral.